Long non-coding RNA from Poecilia latipinna (sailfin molly), 1157 nucleotides. RefSeq lists it as uncharacterized. The transcript is spliced from 2 exons. Lineage: Eukaryota; Metazoa; Chordata; Actinopteri; Cyprinodontiformes; Poeciliidae. The record is from RefSeq and is a predicted model, not a curated record.
UUCCUUUUGUGUUUUUAUUAAAGAUAUUCUUUCUUUAAUACAGUUUUAUGGUAUAAAAUUUCACAUUACAAAAAUAUUAAAAGGUUGUUUUUUUUUCAUUUUGUUUUCAUGACAAAACAAAACAAAACAAAAAAACAAAACAACCCAGAACCGAAGGAACCUGGUUUUGACCCGCUUCGUUCUCAUUUUUAAUACAAGUUAAUAUUCACUUCACUGGACGCUGUUUGCCUCACACAGAAGCACGUUCUACAUUUACACAGGUCUCAACGCAGAGUCAUAGUGGGCGUUUCUGCAGGAUACAAACAGGACACACUUUACAGCAAUUUACAACACGUAGUGGCACAGUGAACUUUCUGAGGCAGUCUUAGUUAUUUAUAAGCGAGUCUGGAUAUUUUAAGGCACUGGCUUCCUAUACAUGUUUCACAAUGGAGUCAUGCAAGCAAACUGCAGGUAUUACACUGCAGGUGUAAACCUACAUUAGGUUUAUGUCAUCUAGAGAUUCGCAGAUCAGAGUUUUGUUGUCAAUCUAAAAUUUUGUACAGAUUGUAUCUAUGGUUCUAAAAUAUAUUAGUUAAAAAAAACGGCUAAAUGUGCAGUUCCUACGGUUAAGUUAUAAUAGCAGCCUAUAUCUAGUAAUAUCAGUUUAAGUUGAAUCAUUAAUUAUUUUUAAAUGAACCAAUUAAAUUUGAUCGGAGGCGACGUCACUCUGUGUGAGAAAGGGGUCACAAUAAAACAGGAAGAAAAUAAUAGAGAUAACACUAUGAGUUGUUUUUGGCAUGAGAUCCUAGAUAUUACAGUGGUUAGUAUGAUUAGAGUAGUUGGUACUUGAAAAAGUCCAGAAGUAUUAACACCAUAAGGAGUCCAGAGCAGCUAGCAUCCAUCCACAGUAAAUACAGCUAACCUUUAAAUAGCUUAACCUUUGGUUCUUCUUCUGACUCAAGGUUAAAACAUUUCACUGAUACCAAACACCGCUAGCUCCAUACAAUAAUGUCCAUGUUGAAGCUUGUCCAAGGUUAACUGUAUAACCUCUUAGCCUUCGUUACAGUGCUAUCCCUGACUUUUUGAGUUUCCAGCUGGUCAGUCACAGGUCAGCGCAUCUCUACUGACAUCAUAAUUAUGUGAUUUUACAACAUAAGCUACUAUAAGUAGUAUGUUUU